Molecule: long non-coding RNA, 3295 nt
Filed under: Olea europaea subsp. europaea
Lineage: Eukaryota; Viridiplantae; Streptophyta; Magnoliopsida; Lamiales; Oleaceae
Source: RNAcentral
AAAACAUUUUUAUAGGUCCUACAAUUUUUUAACGACACAUUUUACAAAUUUCUAUUACAAUCUACCAAAAAAUCUCCGAUGUUUAAAUGAACAAAUUUAAUAGCGACAAUAUUUGAAUACGACGUGGAUUACAAUUGAAAUUUAGAGAUAAAUAUAGAAUGAGAUAGAUAUAUAAAAAUUACUGAUGUAAAGAGCCGUGCCCAUCCAAAAAAAUUAUUCUCUCAACAAGCUAAAUCUGCCACCAAGUGGAGAGUGAAGUGAGCACAACUACGCAACUCGACAAUGGAAAAACUGAUCUCAGAGGACUUUGAUUUGCUGCACAAGGACCGCUCCGAGGAGAACCUCAUGCGGUGGCGCAAAGCCGUCGGAACAAUCGUCAAGAAUCGUCGCCGCCGCUUCCGGUAUGUCGCUGAUCUCGAAAAGCGAUUCGAAACUAAAGAACAGAUGCGGAAACUCAGAGUACGUAUAACUUGAUUAUCUCUCUCUAGAACAGAUAAAGGAUUUGGAUUUUAUGCCUUUCUUCUCUACAGGUUUCUUUUGUUUUGGAUAAUACUACCGUGUCUUGGGAUAAUUUUUCGAAAGUUGCUAAAAAUUUCGAAUAUUGGAAUUUCCGUUUCCGACUUUAUUUCACUUGGAAAAUACGCCUAAUAUUUCUGGAAAAUAAAUUUAGAUUUUUAUGCUAUUAUAUACGAAAUUCUUUUGAUUUGAAAAAUGCUUACCGUUGCUUUGGAUUUAUUCACAAUUUUUUAAAAUUACAAAAAUAAAAAAAAAGUCAGCAAUUGGUCAUUUAUACAAAUAAAAAUUUAAUAAUUGAUGAGGAUUUUUAAUAAACUAAUAGUUAAUAAUCGUCCUGGGAACAAAGCAGAAUCAUCUGUUUUCUGUUUGGAAAUAUUUAUCGGUAAAGCAUAAAAGGAACCUUUAGUGCUAAUCAUGAUGGUUUUCAUUGACCGGUUUCAAUUGACCACCGGUCCACCGGUGAUGUCUAAUCUAAAGACGCUUGAUUUCCACGCUCUCUUUAUUUUCAACAAAACAGGAUAGUGUUGGCAACAUUUGUCACGAUAAACAUUGUUUAAAAUUCUUUAGCCUCAGUUGGACUCCCAUUACUUGAAUUUAUAAUGGGAGAAUAGUGUUUAAAAAAAUUACUAUUCAAAACUUUAUUUUCUUAAAAUAAUGGCCAGGGGUUAAAUUUUAAUUGGGUCCGUAUAAAGAUUCUUAUUUAUCAAAUUGGAUUUUUACAUUUUAAGCAGUAGCAUAUGGGGUCAUGUGCAUGCACCCAUGCCUUGGGCCGGAUCGAUCUAGUAUAUUUGAUUAAUGUUUUUAAUUUAAUUUUUUAUGAUUGGAUAAAAUAGUCAAAAUUUGAAAUAAAUAACCACCCUUACUUUUAAAAGUUAUAAGAAAAUCAAUAUUUUUAGAUAUGAUUGCAAUAUGGUGCACCCAUGUAGGGAUGUCAACGAGUCAAGUCGAGCCGACUCGCGAGUCAAAAUUCUAGACUUGGGCUCUGCUCGAGUAAAAUGCAACGGGCUUUUUUCGAGCCCGAGCCGAGAAAAAGCUUGGCCAAAAAAAUAAGGUUCGGCUACAGUCGGGCUCGAUUUUUUAUUUUUUGAUUGGUGACAAAUCUAAAUUUUUUGAAAGAAUUUAAAAAUCGUGCAAUUUAUAUUAGUUAUAAAUUAAAUAAAAGUUAGAACCCUCUUUUUUUUCGUGCUUAAGACCAACUAUAAUCAACAUAAGUGAAGUUAAAAUUGUACACAAAUAAAAUAUUUCGUGUAGCAUUUCUCUUGGAACCAUUAUAAAAAAAGUUAAAAAUAAUUUAAGCAAAUUGAUAUGAAAUUUAAAACAAAGAAAUUGAAGUUAAAACUAUAAUAUUGCACAUUAAAAAUGAUUGAAGCAAAUUGAUAUAAAACUCAAAAUUUUACAACAUAUUUAUAGCAAAAGGAAAUCGUGUUCCUCAAAUUUGAAUUUCAAAUUACGCACAAAUAAAAAUAAAGAGUUUGCUGCCAAACUUAGCAGCUAUAAAGGUGCUCCUUCAUGUGCAAUAAAGGGUGGCCUUUUUGUAUAUUGUUUUUUUCAUCUCAAGUUUUGAAGUUGAUUUUUAUUUAUUUAUUUAUGUCAAUAGCCAUACGGGUCGGCCCGAGCUCGAGCCAAUGCCCCAAAAUGGGGCUCGGUUUCUUCGAGCCGCGAGUCGAGGGACAAGCUACCCGUGCCGACGAGCUGGUUUGACAUCGCUACACCAUGUGAUUCAAGGAGGUACCUCAUGGGGGACCAUGUGAAAGUCACUACUACUAAUAUAUGUAUAUUAAACUUUUUUCUUUUUUCUUUUUUUAAUCUAAAAUCCAUAAUUCUUCAAAUGUUUCUUUUUUAUAAGUGAGACUUACCAACAUUACAAUAUAUGUUUUCUCUCUGUGGUCCCCGAGGCCUUGAAGAGUUGCUAUUUUAUAGUGUUUUGUCACAGUGAGAAUAGGUGAAUGGGACACCAAAAUAUGGCACCUUCUUGACUUGUACUCUGCAAUAAAGUCAGAGGAGGAAAUUUCCUUGAAAUUUCAUUGUGACAUUGGUGGAAUGCCUGUAGGGGAAAAUUAUUUAAGAAAUAGUAUCUCAUCUCCUAGUUUACGAGAAAAUAAGCUAUGCGUCUCUGUCCUUUUUCUCUCACUCUGAGUUAGUCUCAUCUAGUGUUGUUUGUAUUGGAGCAUCAUUUUCAGACUUAUCCUACCAGAUGACUUCACCAUAUCAUGUAUGGUCUGGACCAGACCAUGCUAGACCCAACGAAUUUUCGCGGUGCCAAACGUACACCUCUAGUUUGGGUUGGAGGUCACCAAAAAUAUUCAAAAAUUAAAAAAUCUUAGGCUAUGUUUGAAAGGCAUGAAUUCCAUGGAAAAUGGAAUUUGAUUUCCACCCUAAACCAAAAAUUGAUGUUUGAUAGGUUUUUUUCUAUGGAAUUCAUUUUCCCACUUUGAUGCCACCUAUACCAUUUUCCACCAAAUUGAGGAAAAUGAAUUCUCACCAAAUUGGUGAGAAUUCAUUUUCUAGGCUGUUGGGCCCUUUUUUUUUUUUUUUUUUUUUUUUUUUUUUUUUUGCAAUGGAAACAAUUCUAUCUCUAAUUGUAUAAAAAAAAAUUUCCUUUAAUUGAGAAUUUUUAUGUAAAACAAAGCCAAACGAACACUAAAAGAUAGAUGAUUUCCUUGAAAUUUUUUUAUUUUUAUUUUUAUUUUUUUUGGCAAUUGGAAGAAAUUUCAUUCCAAUACCAGUAAAUUCUUUCUCUUUAAUUGAUAAUUUUCAUGUAAAAUAAAGUCAAACCAAC